GCAACCUGCAGGGAACCUAUCCCCGCUCCCUGUGGAGGCUACAGAGUCUGAGGAGGUUCCUCCUUCUGAACCACACAGUGAUGCCGGGGCUGCUGGCUGUGGGGAGUCUGGGGAUGUUCCUUAUCCUCCGCUUCUUGCUGUCCUGGAUGGUCAAGUUCAUCUCGGCCACGGCAUAACUCUGGCGGAGG
Ixodes scapularis (black-legged tick) is the source of this 188-nucleotide long non-coding RNA. RefSeq lists it as uncharacterized. The record is from RefSeq and is a predicted model, not a curated record. The transcript has 3 exons. NCBI's taxonomy places the organism in Eukaryota, Metazoa, Arthropoda, Arachnida, Ixodida, Ixodidae.